RNAcentral lists this ribosomal RNA (180 nucleotides) under uncultured Glomeromycotina. RNAcentral describes it as "partial small subunit ribosomal RNA". It matches the Rfam family "Eukaryotic small subunit ribosomal RNA", at positions 654 to 830 of the family's 1831-position model. The record is from RNAcentral. Lineage: Eukaryota; Fungi; Glomeromycota.
GGAUCAAUUGAUUGGUCAUGCCUUGGUAUGUACUGGUCAUAUUGGUUCUCACCUUCUAAUGAACCAUAAUGUCAUUUAUUUGAUGUUAUGGGGAAUUAGGACUGUUACCUUGAAAAAAUUAGAGUGUUUAAAGCAGGCUUACGCUUGAAUACAUUAGCAUGGAAUAAUAGAAUAGGACUU